This 478-nucleotide long non-coding RNA is filed under the name Olea europaea subsp. europaea. Lineage: Eukaryota; Viridiplantae; Streptophyta; Magnoliopsida; Lamiales; Oleaceae. The record is from RNAcentral.
CGGUGGGUUGAGCACUGCUUCCGGUUCCAGGCUCUUUCUGAUUGUCACGGUCAUUCCUCGAGCGUUUAUCAUGACCAAUGUAAUUCCUUAAGAGUCCUUUUUUAAUGAGAGCUUCAAUUUCCCGCUGCAAAGCUUGACAAUCCUCCGUGGUAUGCCCAUGAUCUCGUUGAAAUUCACAAUACUUGCUCCUAUCUCUUGAGUCACGGGGCAACUUCAUUCUUGAAGGCCACUUUAAUUAUUUCAUAUCUUUGAUCUCCAUUAAGAUAUUUGCCUUGGAGGUGUUUAAUCGGGUGAGGAUCCCUGGUGGACCUUCAUUCUUGUACUUUUCCCAAGGAUACCCUAGCUGGGAAACAGGAUCAUGUUGUUUCUUGUUCUCGACCUUUUCAUGGGAUGGACCAGGUCUCAUUGGAUUCAGUGUUUCCUCCAUAUUAAUGUAUUUUUCAGCUCGGGUGAGGAGCUCGGUCACUGUCUGUGGCGG